Long non-coding RNA from Juglans microcarpa x Juglans regia, 690 nucleotides. RefSeq lists it as uncharacterized. NCBI's taxonomy places the organism in Eukaryota, Viridiplantae, Streptophyta, Magnoliopsida, Fagales, Juglandaceae. The transcript is spliced from 2 exons. The record is from RefSeq and is a predicted model, not a curated record.
UCUGGCCGUUGGAUGGAUAUCUAAUCCAAACGGCUACAUAUCUUUCUAUGCUUUUUAUGUUGCAGGAUUUUCUAGCCGUUAGCUCAACCUAUUGCAAUUCAAUUUCCUGAUAUAAACCUGUAAUAAUGUCUUUCACCAUGCAUGUUACCUUCAAAGCAAACACAGGGCUAUCCGUACAGGAUAUGGAGCCUCUCAUAGCUGACAAAGGUAAAUUAGCUGAUAUUAUGGAUUUUUCUGAGCAAAGUUAUCAUUGGAACUACAGAGGCAAAAAGACUGAGAAAUUAGGAGCAGUUCAAAUUAGGAGCAGCAAGAAGACUGUGAAAUAGCUGCCAUCAGGUGUUUUCAUUGCAGAAGAACAAUUUCGGCGAGAGUAACAUAAAAGAAUACCAGUGUCGACAUAGAUGUUGGCUCCGAACUUGUUCGUAGAAUUGCCAAAAUGGCACUGUGAAUUGGUGGCUUCAGAGGACUUUUCUCUGUCAGCUCGACCAUUGGUGUUGGAAGGCGCAUUCCCUGAGUUAAUGCAUGAUGACUCCAAGGAUUAUGACCCAUAUGGAGUUUAUAGUGUUUUGUGCGGCUGCAUUAUUAUUUGUUUAAUUAGUUGUGUUGUAUUUUUAUUUAUUUUGUUUUUUGUAAAUUUAUAUUUUGUAUUGUAAUGUAAUAACAAUAUUAUCUAUUUUAUUUUUUUAUUUA